AGAAAGGCGCUUGAACAUGCAGAACGUGCUCACAGUGCUGGAGCUCUUGCCCUGCUGUUUGUAUGGACUCCAUAAAAAGGGCACUGCUACUGCAAGUACAGAUGGACACUGGAUUUUGUGGAUGCUCCUUGGACACACUGGAAUGCACCUUGGGCAGCCCGUGGAUCAUUUUCCCCAGUAUGAAGCAUGGGAGGAGCUGGAAAAUGAACUCAUGAGCCAGUUGAGCCAGCACAACAAGCUGGAGCCAGG
RNAcentral lists this long non-coding RNA (249 nucleotides) under Homo sapiens (human). Its description in RNAcentral is "non-protein coding LINC01117:16". The record is from RNAcentral. Lineage: Eukaryota; Metazoa; Chordata; Mammalia; Primates; Hominidae.